This 3823-nucleotide long non-coding RNA is filed under the name Coffea arabica (coffee). RNAcentral's name for it is "long non-coding RNA (CARA_LNC007315)". Lineage: Eukaryota; Viridiplantae; Streptophyta; Magnoliopsida; Gentianales; Rubiaceae. The record is from RNAcentral.
AGAAUGUAAAACUCUAACAUGAAUAGGGGGAAGCUUAGAGCAAGUUACCAUAAUUUUUCUUGUUCUGAGGGUUAAAUUGAAAAUAUUCCUUGCUCUAUUCAAGGCUUUUCAUCAUUUUGGAGGGCCAUCUGACUAUUAAACCCAAACUUUAAUGAAUUUCAGAACUGGAGCCAAAGAGGUUUCCUCUUCGUUUCCCCCCUGUUCUUCUAUGACCUGUAUAAUUUAGGGUUGCACAUUUUCUCGAAAUUUAUUGUGUUCUAAUCUUGAAUUUGUCCAAAAGAUUGGAUCUUUCAAGUUUAUGAUGUAUGGGUUUGUAAAUUGGAGCUCGUAGCAGCUGAAGGGAUCAUUUUUCUAUUACUCCAGUUUCACUCAUGGGCUGCACACUUAUCAGAUUUUACUGCAAAGAGGGCUAUCUUUCUUUCAAUUUCUUGCUCUGAAAGCACAGGUCAAGGUAUAAAGUAGGCCAAGUAAUCCUUUUGCCUUUUUGCCUUUAUUUUUUUGGAGCCAUUGUUUGGGUUAUUCAUUUUCUUUAGAAUUGGGAUCAAUAUAACUACAUGUAGUGAUUAAUCAUCUUAGGCUCACUUUUGCUGAAAAGUCUUUUUUCUUUUGGGAUUUUUGUUUCAGUUUCCAUAAUUUGUUGUUGUUCGAGAAAUCUUUUGUAGUUCAUAUUUAUGAUCAGCUGAGAAGUGAGAACCCUCUGGAAGCUACUUUAAAGUGAUGAAUUGCACUCUCUCUGUAAGGAAAUGCUAUUUGUUUACUCAAUUAGGGUGUUUUUGUAUUCAUAUACUAUGCAUAGGUUGUAUGUGUGUGUGUGGAUUUUUGAAGAAGAUAUAAUUGGCGUAAAAACUUUGACUUGUCUGCAUUUGAGCAAAACUUCAAAAGAAAUCUAAUAUAUUUGGUUUACAUUAAGCCUUUUAUGUCCAAAUGCAAUAUUUGCUUAGUGCUGAACUAUUAUGCAAAUGCAAGUUUUUGACUUGGCAUUCUUUACGGUUUACUUUUGCGAUAACGCCUGAUGAGGCUUAUUUUUCUGUUUACUAGUAAGUCAGGAUGUUAUGCUGCCCAUUUUUUUUUUUUUUUUUGUGAGAGUGUGUGUGUGUGUGUGGUUUUUUUCUUUUUAACUUCUUUAAAGGCUUUCCCUAUAAGCAAACAUUAGGGCCAGCUAUUUUCUUUUUUUUUUCUUUUCUUUUUUCAAUUAUUUGGAUUUCAAAGUUGAGGAGCCAAAUCGAGUAGUUGAAUUUGUGCGUCAUACUUCAUAGGCUCCACUUGGCAGAUUGCACCAGGUGAGUAGUACAGAAGAUUGGGAGUGUUGCCCUGUUUUCCCUCAAAUUCCUGGUUCUAAAUAAGCUUGAGCAAUCCUUUUUAUGCAAAACCCAAAAAUUGUGCUACCUUCCUGCUUCUCUGCUUCUCCCAUUUUUGUGCCAAACAUGAAGUUUCCUGAUAUUCUCUGUUAGUGACUUCCUUUUUUUGUUUGUUUUUAAGAUACUUUGAGUCAUUGUUGAUAGCUUUUUGAGCAUUGACACAAUUAUAUCUCUUAAACUUGCUUAUAAUUUUCUUUUGGAGGUCAGGAAGGUUAGGGAACGGUUGUUUUUGGUGUUUGUGUUGGAAACAUGAAGUAUAUUUAACUUCUUGUCAUGUCAAAGGUCCAAACAAUGACAAUGGAUAUCUCUGCUAGAUGUUGGACCUAAAGAUGGUUUGUCAUUGUUGCUUUAUGUUGUUUCAAAGUAUUCUGCAAUAGAUUCUCUUAGGAAAAAUCAUGUUGGUUUUCUUCUGGUUUAAGGCAGAAAGCCAUUAGGUUCGUUAUAACUAAUGUACAUAAUUUGAUGUAGGAAUUCUUCAUCUGAUGUUGCAGACUAUCUUGAUCACAUCUAAUGGAGCUUGUAAGCUGGGUGCAUUUGGUUUCACACCUACAGGUCACUCAUCCAGUGAUUCAGCUAAUGUGCGGGCUUUCCACUAUGCUGUGAGUGUAAAUUUUCAUAUCACAGUGAAAAACAGAAUAUAAUUGCACGUUUUUUUUAGUUCAUUUUUCUACUGCAUUUCUAGUUAUUGAAUUUGUGAAUUGAUAGCAUUUCUUUUAUCUGAAUCUUAUUGCUGUUAAGCAUGCUGCUGGACCUGCAUUAGCUUUUUGAUUUAUCAUGGAAAAUCUGUUGUUUGAAUAGUAGUAUCUUAAACAGAUUUGGUUGCUAAUUGGUUCUUGGAAAGGUUUAACACAAAUUUUCUUCAUAAAUUAGUGCUUGGAGCUCUAUCAAUGCUAUAUCUGAGCUCAAGUAUGAGCUAUAUAUGAAGAGGAGCCAGGCAGAUCCAUAUGGUUUCAUGUUACAUUAGAGUUAGAUCUAUGUUGUUGAUGAGUAAAGAAUAGAAAGAAGUGUUGUGGGAGGGGUUUUGGAAGGACCGAAGUGCAUGAUAUAUGUAGAUUUGGUGAGUAUGAUCCUCUUAACGUGCUGGACUAUUAUGUUAUCACCUUAGACUCAAUCAAGACAAGUACAUCGAAGAUUAGGGAUGACAACGCGACAGGUGCCUGCCUUGCAGGGGAAGGAAUGGGACGGGAGAUUUUUCUCCUCCUACUUUAAAUGGGGUGGGGGAGGAUACCAAUAUAUAUUUUGACAAAAGCUUUGUCCUUCAUAUCAUUCGAUUCUUUUGAGUCUCUUUUGAUUAGUAGACAGACAAAAGAAUAUAUCAGUUUUUUGGUUAGAACUUACUGUUAUACUAGCACCAAAUGUUCUUGACUGUGAUUGCAACAUCUCCAAUUAUGGGAAGUAAGGGGCCGCUUGGUUUGAGGGGUUUGGCAUGUGGAAUGACAAUAAUUCCAAUAUUUAGUGCUUGGUACACUGUAAUGGCAAUUGAAAUAUUGGAAUCAUACCCAAUUCAUGAUUCCCGACUAAAUUGGGAGGAAUCACUCAAAACCCUCAGCUCAUUUCCAACAGUGAAUAAAUAAAAGACAAAAUAUUUUGUUAAAAUACUUUCUUUCUCCCUCUCCCAGACUUCCACCAUCGAACCUCCCCUUCCUCUCUGCCUUCAACACCUCUCUCUCCCCCAUGGCAUCUGGCAAUUCCUCCCCUUUUUCUUAUUUUUCCCUCUUUAUCAGCAUUUGACAACACCCAAAUGGGCUUGCCGGCAGAAAAAUAGAUUCAAAUGGAAGAAAUCGAAGAGGAAGCCGCACCAGCAAACACCGACAAGUCAUCACCGUUAUUAUCUGAAUUCUCCCCGUAAGAUCCGUUGGCCCGAGGUCGAGGUCCACCUCUACAAGCUUGGCAAAGGACCCAUCAAUGUCUUCAAGUCCAGCCUUAGUGGGUGGGACCAAGACUAGUUGGAGGUCACCGAUUUUUUUCCUUUUCCAUGGCAUCUGACAAAAUCUCUCUUCUUCUCCCACGGCCGGUCACUUCCACCUCAUCCCAGUAGACCCUUUCUUCUCCUCCCUUGCCAUCAAAUCGUCCUCCUCAUUGCAAUCGUUCUCCACAAAUCGUUCAAAUCUUUUAUUGAUUAGUCAUGAGUUUUUGUUGAUAAUCGUUGAACCAAAAACAAAAAAGAUUUGGAUUGGUAGUGAUUUGAUGAUGGGCGUGAUUAUCAAUCCAAGAACAAUAAUUAAAAAAUAAAAAAUUAAUUUUGAUACCAUUCCAACUAUAUUUAUACCAAGCACUAGUCCGUGGAAUAAUACCAGGGGUUCAAACCCAUACUAAUUUUUUGUAUAUCAUUCCAUCUCCAAUACCAAUUCCAAAACAUGAACCAAGCACCCCCUAAGAGUGUCCAUAAGAUGGAUUAGUGAUGACUAGAGAACCAAUUUCUGGAUGGCAAACACCACAAGCCCUCUAACAGAGAUCAAUGGCAU